Agelaius phoeniceus (red-winged blackbird) is the source of this 219-nucleotide long non-coding RNA. RefSeq lists it as uncharacterized. Lineage: Eukaryota; Metazoa; Chordata; Aves; Passeriformes; Icteridae. The record is from RefSeq and is a predicted model, not a curated record.
CCGGGCUGUAGCCCGGUGGGACUCGGUCUCUUCUCAUCCUGCCGCUGUCCGCCUGGGAGAGGACGUGGCCUCGAGCUGCGCUACUGGAGGUUUAGACACAUCCCAGCAGUGCUGGGGCUUCCCUGUGUGCUGGGGUGAUGCCAGUCAUGGUAGAAACCCUAGUGACCCUGCCUGCCAUAAAUACCCCCCAGAUCCCUGCAGCCGCCUCAUUUAUUGCCA